AGCAAGCUUAUUGGCUGACUCUGACAGACACGCUUAGCAACUGACAGUCCGUCGUCCAAUCACAGGCGUAGAAAACGCGCCUAAUGCUGUGCAUGCCAGAAAUGGUUCAUCAAAGAAAAGUGAGCUGUAAUCCUCACAGUGAACUGCUUGGAAAUCCCCUGGCAAGUGCAUUACUGCAGCUGUGUUCAGCUCCAAAAUACAGCUAAAAGGCAAAGUUCAACAAGGCGGAAGAAAUACUUAAGUGCCUCAAUGUGACCCUCUUCUCAUUCAUUCUGACAAUACAUUUCUCAAAACAUUUUAAUCAGAGCUGCCAGAUAGUCAGAGGAGUCCUCUGCUGAGACAUUUAUUGUCAGGGCCUAAAAGUCAAACAAGCCCGACAGAAGUGGCCUGAAUUUGACUCGAGGUUCUCUUUUUUUCAGAUUUACUUUGUCAUGGAAAUGAAAGCAGACAUGUAUCCAAAUAUUUAUUCACUCUGUUUUCCCAUGACAACGAGUAGUUUACACUCUUGAAAUCUUGCCUUAUCUAUCUCCUAUUUCCAGAGUUUUAAUAGCACAAAACAAACAAGGCUUGUUAGGCUAAGCUUACCUCAUUAGCGUGGGCAAUGGCAGCAUGGCAGGUCUAAUUCUGGCCAAUCACAGUGAACAACAGCCUGUUUCCUUUUCUAGAUUAUCAGAAAAUCUUCUUGUUGUCACGAGAAAACAAGCUAUGUAAUAUCAAGGUGAUAAAAUGAAUGAAUAAUCGGAAAACCACCUUUAAAAAAAUACUGGAAAUUACCCGUCAUCAAGGAAAAAUUGAGUUAAUAAAAUGUAUGAAUGCAUGUCUGUUUAGGGCUUUUAUGAAAUAAAAGGAAUAACCUCUCAA
Long non-coding RNA from Labrus bergylta (ballan wrasse), 861 nucleotides. RefSeq lists it as uncharacterized. Lineage: Eukaryota; Metazoa; Chordata; Actinopteri; Labriformes; Labridae. The record is from RefSeq and is a predicted model, not a curated record.